GACGAACGCUGGCGGCGUGCUUAACACAUGCAAGUCGAACGGAAAGGCCCUGCUUUUGUGGGGUGCUCGAGUGGCGAACGGGUGAGUAACACGUGAGUAACCUGCCCUUGACUUUGGGAUAACUUCAGGAAACUGGGGCUAAUACCGGAUAGGAGCUCCUGCUGCAUGGUGGGGGUUGGAAAGUUUCGGCGGUUGGGGAUGGACUCGCGGCUUAUCAGCUUGUUGGUGGGGUAGUGGCUUACCAAGGCUUUGACGGGUAGCCGGCCUGAGAGGGUGACCGGCAAAGGGGGGACUGGGAAACGGCCCAGACCCCUAGGGGGGGGAGGGGGGGGGAAUAUUGCACAAGGGGGGGAAGCGUGAUGCGGAAACGCCGGGGGCGGGAUGAGGGCCUUGGGGUGGAAAACCGCUUCCCCGUGUGACGAAGCGUGAGGGGAGGAAAUGGGUAAAGGAACACCGCCGAACUACGU
This 467-nucleotide ribosomal RNA is filed under the name uncultured bacterium. RNAcentral describes it as "partial 16S ribosomal RNA". It matches the Rfam family "Bacterial small subunit ribosomal RNA", at positions 28 to 506 of the family's 1533-position model. The record is from RNAcentral.